GGGGAAUAUUGGACAAUGGGCGCAAGCCUGAUCCAGCCAUGCCGCGUGGGUGAAGAAGGCCUUCGGGUUGUAAAGCCCUUUUGUUGGGAAAGAAAAGCAGCCGGCCAAUACCCGGUUGUUCUGACGGUACCCAAAGAAUAAGCACCGGCUAACUUCGUGCCAGCAGCCGCGGUAAUACGAAGGGUGCAAGCGUUACUCGGAAUUACUGGGCGUAAAGCGUGCGUAGGUGGUGGUUUAAGUCCGUUGUGAAAGCCCUGGGCUCAACCUGGGAACUGCAGUGGAUACUGGGAAGCUAGAGUAUGGGAGAGGAUGGUAGAAUUCCAGGUGUAGCGGUGAAAUGCGUAGAGAUCUGGAGGAAUACCGAUGGCGAAGGCAGCCAUCUGGCCUAAUACUGACGCUGAGGUACGAAAGCAUGGGGAGCAAACA
RNAcentral lists this ribosomal RNA (426 nucleotides) under uncultured Lysobacteraceae bacterium. RNAcentral's name for it is "bacterial SSU rRNA". It matches the Rfam family "Bacterial small subunit ribosomal RNA", at positions 356 to 774 of the family's 1533-position model. Lineage: Bacteria; Pseudomonadati; Pseudomonadota; Gammaproteobacteria; Lysobacterales; Lysobacteraceae. The record is from RNAcentral.